CAGCUUCUGAAUCGAGCAUGGGAGAUGUGGGCGACGCGCCGCUUACAAUCCAGUUGGCCAUGAACAACGGCUGAGAGCGCUGAGCUUGUCGGCGACCGAUUCGCAACAAUCAACGGGAAAAGACGACCCUCAAGCCGCCGGGUGGACAAAAAGGGUUCAUAUUGGGCGAGCCCCUAUCGAGCGUGCACCUUGUGCUGGAAGAGUAUGUGCCCUUGAAAAAAACAUUAAGAGGAUAUGCAGAGAAGAAAACUGAUACCGUAGUGGUACCAUCUGUUGGAUACAACUUUGAUUCAUUGGGAGAGCCAUACGACCUCCACAACCUAUAUUCGUGGGAAAUUGGAUUCGAAAUAAGAUACGAAAAAAGUAGGCUCAACGUCAAGAGAACCAAAUGUAUGCAGGAGAUAGUAUGUGGAUACUCUGGCAAACCAAAAAGAGGAAAUACACGCACAUGCCGCUGUGAGUGCCCUGCGUACAUAACUGAGCACAGGCCAUCACACAAUCAUGCUUUGACAGAUAAAUGUGGUGAAAAGGUGUACUGACCUUCACAUAAAAAUAUCCAUCUAUAUGCAAGAGACCUUGUUAAACAACUUAGAGAGAACAAUAUCAACAUUGGAAAAGUUUACAAUAUAAUUGGUAGUUUCUUCGGUUCAAUGAAUAAUGUGCCCUUGAGCAGUAUGCAAGCAGCAAGCAUCUCAAGUAGCACUGAAUUUCUACUAUUUCCCCCUUGUAUCCUGACUGCUCACUGCCAGCCCCCUGAUAUACAUUAUGUAUUGUCAGCUUAGUAAUAUGUAUUUGUCUGAACCCCUGAGCUGUCUAGAUGCAUUGUUUAAAACUAAUUUUGUGCUGCUGUAACAAAGAUCUCAUAUUAAUCUUAGUGUGCUACUGAUGACAUGUUCAUCUACUAUCCAUUAGUCAGGCAUAUAUCUCCACUUAUAUGUCCUGUUUUCGUGUUAAUUUUCCCUGAAAUGUUGAACCAUGAUUCAUCUAUGCAAGCUGCAAGCAUUUCAAGUAUCACGGGAUUUUCCCUAUUUCCUCCUUGUAUCCUGACUGCUCACUGCCAGUGCCCUUAGCCAAAAUAUGUACCGUAUUUGUCUAAUGCCCUGAAUGUGGAUGUGUUGUUCAAAGCUAAGUUUCAUGCUGCUGUAACAAAGGUCUCAUAUUAAUCUUCGUGUGCUAAUGAUGACAUGUUCAGCUACUAUUCCCUAGAGUCAGUUGUAUCUCCUAUUUUUCCCGAUUUUUUAUCCUGAAAAUUUUACUAAAAUCACACGCAUGAUUUUUAAUAUAAAUGUUAUGCUUGACAAUCAAGCCGGCACCGACAGCAGGGUGCAGACUCUCUUGUCUUCGGCCAUGGGCGCGGACGCAGCACUGUACACAUCUAGUUUGAUUUUUGAAACCUUUCAACCCAGCAGAGCCUGUAGUUCAUACCCUGAGACUCUGAGCCGACCAUCAAAUCUGCCACUUUAAGUGAUCAAGCUUGGCACUUGCUCACAGGCUCGA
Molecule: long non-coding RNA, 1497 nt
Organism: Triticum aestivum (bread wheat)
Lineage: Eukaryota; Viridiplantae; Streptophyta; Magnoliopsida; Poales; Poaceae
Exons: 3
Source: RefSeq, a predicted model, not a curated record